RNAcentral lists this long non-coding RNA (688 nucleotides) under Rattus norvegicus (Norway rat). RNAcentral describes it as "long non-coding RNA NONRATT031724". The record is from RNAcentral. Lineage: Eukaryota; Metazoa; Chordata; Mammalia; Rodentia; Muridae.
CUUUCUAUUAUGGGAUGGAGCAGUUGUGUCAGUGUGCAUCCUGGAAGCCAACCUGUGAGAAUCCUGUGGGCUGAUGGGAGAGCAGCCCUGGCUCUCCGUGGACCAAACAGAAUCAACACAGCACUUUCUCCAUUACACACUGGAUUCAGAUUCAGAACCAUGGGGCCAGAACUGUACCUUGGCCUUCUCCGAGACAAAAGACCCAAGACAACUCAUUCAAGUAAAGUAUUGUGACUGAAUGGGUGCAUGGUGGUGAGUGGCUACAGAACGGGGUGAGGUCAGUCAGUGGAUACAGAAUAACAGUUAUGAAAUAUUCUGAUUGAAUGGGGUGCAGUCAGUGAAUGGAUACAGAAUAACAGUUAUGAAAUAUUUUGAUUGAAAGGGAUGAGGUCAGCAGUGGAUACAGAAUAACAGUUAUGAAAUAUUCUGAUUGAAUGGGGUGGGGUCAGUCAGUGGAUACAGAAUAACAGUUAUGAAAUGUGCAAAGCAUUUUGGAGAUGGAUGGUGGCAAGCCAGUCAAGGACCAUGUGGGACAGAGGUGGGUGAGCUUGGGGGUUUUAAUCUAUGUUUCCCACUAAGCAUCUGUGUCUUUCCCCUAGUCUCUUACACAUAGAUCGUCUUCUCAUAGCCUCCUAUUCUGAUCCUUGGGAUCAGCUUGGGCAAGCACACCAGAAAAACCAGGAUGAGG